RNAcentral lists this ribosomal RNA (446 nucleotides) under uncultured bacterium. RNAcentral describes it as "bacterial SSU rRNA". It matches the Rfam family "Bacterial small subunit ribosomal RNA", at positions 32 to 484 of the family's 1533-position model. The record is from RNAcentral.
AAUCAACGCUGGCGGCGUGCCUCAGACAUGCAAGUCGAACGAUUAAAGCUCUCUUCGGAGAGUGUAUAGAGUGGCGCACGGGUGAGUAACACGUAAGUAAUCUACCUUUGAGUGGGGAAUAACCCGGGGAAACCCGAGCUAAUACCGCAUAAUGCAGCGGCAUCGCAAGAUGACAGUUGUUAAAGGAGCAAUCCGCUUAAAGAGGAGCUUGCGGCAGAUUAGCUAGUUGGUAAGGUAAUGGCUUACCAAGGCUACGAUCUGUAUCCGGUCUAAGAGGACGGUCGGACACACUGACACUGAAUAACGGGUCAGACUCCUACGGGAGGCAGCAGUCGGGAAUUUUGGGCAAUGGGCGAAAGCCUGACCCAGCAACGCCGCGUGAAGGAUGAAGUAUUUCGGUAUGUAAACUUCGAAAGAAUAGGAAGAAUAAAUGACGGUACUAUUUA